UCAUUAAAUGGCUGAAUUGAAAGCCUUGGUCUCUUAAACCAUCUCAUAAUAUAAUCAAAUAUUUUUAAUGAU
RNAcentral lists this transfer RNA (72 nucleotides) under Orthonychiurus folsomi. RNAcentral's name for it is "tRNA-Lys". The record is from RNAcentral. Lineage: Eukaryota; Metazoa; Arthropoda; Collembola; Poduromorpha; Onychiuridae.